AUUCUAUUUCUUCUCUGUGUUCUCUCUACCAGCGCCGCACCACAUUUCUUCUCUGUGUUCUCUCAACCAGCGGUGCACUUCUAACCCACCAGCCCGAUCGUCGCCGCCUGCCGGUAAGUCCAUUCUUACUCUGCCAUCGUCUUCUUCGAACUUCAUUUGCAGUCGAUGGCAAUGCUGGAGUACGGUCGUCAGCCACCUCAGUCCAUCGUAUCUAAUUACGAGAGAGAGAGAGACAGAGAGAGCAGGGUACCGAUCAUUCGAUCAAUUACCUCACGCAUCUCAGUUCCAGAUUUGAAGUACUCAAGAAGAAAGGGAAAGGACGAACGAAGCUUGCGUGCUUGAGCACUCCUUCUGAUUCACUUCAUACAUCUCAUAAAGUAAUAAGGUAGAAGGAUGCAGAAAUUGGGAGAUUUCAAGCUGCCCCACUUCUUCAAUUAUCCACCAUACUUCACGUAAUAGCUUGUGCUUUUGACUUGUUACCUAUAAAAGAAAAAUGAAAAACAGUUUGCUUUCCUUUUUUUAAAAAAAUAUAUUUUCUUAAGUACUUAUGAAGCUGGAGAGAUUUGUU
Molecule: long non-coding RNA, 568 nt
Organism: Diospyros lotus (date-plum)
Lineage: Eukaryota; Viridiplantae; Streptophyta; Magnoliopsida; Ericales; Ebenaceae
Exons: 3
Source: RefSeq, a predicted model, not a curated record